Molecule: long non-coding RNA, 581 nt
Organism: Pseudophryne corroboree (corroboree frog)
Lineage: Eukaryota; Metazoa; Chordata; Amphibia; Anura; Myobatrachidae
Exons: 3
Source: RefSeq, a predicted model, not a curated record
CAUGCAGGAGGGGGAGUAUGUAGAGGAACACAGGGGUCUGUACAAGGACGUGAUGAUGGAGAAUCACCGGCCCCUCACAUCACUGGAUGGACCCAGUAACAGAGAUACCCCAGAGAGAUGUCCCCGUCCUCUGUAUUCCCAGGAUUGUACAGAGGAGAAUCACAGGACCCCACAGGAGGAUCAGGCAGGAUUCGGAAGGAUUUCUGGUGGAAUCCAUGAAAGACCUGGGUUGCAUGGCUGCAGGAAUUUCUUCCAUGUCUGUCUCCGCUCGUUGAGGACUGUGGCUGCGUUAGUGGUCUGCUGACGUGGAAUCCAGGAGAAGUGUGGAUUCCCAACCCUAUACAGGUCAGGCUCUCUUUGGGGAAGCAGUAGAUACAUGGAUCUCCACAGCUACAGUGGGUAAGUCACCUUUUCUUCCCUCAGCUUCAACUGAUCUGAAGAAACCCUUUUCUUUAACUGCAAUACAGCCCUUUCGGGCUGCCAAGCUCAGAAAGGCCAGGCUGUACAACACCUUCUUUUGGGGAGGUCGGCCCAAGUCCAAGAUACCUGCUGCUGUAGGCUCCCAGGAACAGAAACCGGCU